GAUGAACGCUGGCGGCGUGCCUAAUACAUGCAAGUCGAGCGAACAGACGAGGAGCUUGCUCCUCUGACGUUAGCGGCGGACGGGUGAGUAACACGUGGAUAACCUACCUAUAAGACUGGGAUAACUUCGGGAAACCGGAGCUAAUACCGGAUAAUAUAUUGAACCGCAUGGUUCAAUAGUGAAAGACGGUUUUGCUGUCACUUAUAGAUGGAUCCGCGCCGCAUUAGCUAGUUGGUAAGGUAACGGCUUACCAAGGCGACGAUGCGUAGCCGACCUGAGAGGGUGAUCGGCCACACUGGAACUGAGACACGGUCCAGACUCCUACGGGAGGCAGCAGUAGGGAAUCUUCCGCAAUGGGCGAAAGCUUGACGGAGCAACGCCGCGGGAGUGAUGAAGGUCUUCGGAUCGUAAAACUCUGUUAUUAGGGAAGAACAAAUGUGUAAGUAACUAUGCACGUCUUGACGGUACCUAAUCAGAAAGCCACGGCUAACUACGU
RNAcentral lists this ribosomal RNA (496 nucleotides) under uncultured bacterium. RNAcentral's name for it is "partial 16S ribosomal RNA". It matches the Rfam family "Bacterial small subunit ribosomal RNA", at positions 28 to 506 of the family's 1533-position model. The record is from RNAcentral.